RNAcentral lists this non-coding RNA (165 nucleotides) under uncultured Prevotella sp. Lineage: Bacteria; Pseudomonadati; Bacteroidota; Bacteroidia; Bacteroidales; Prevotellaceae. The record is from RNAcentral.
CAUCGCGAGAUGAAAUCUGAAGGAAGCCGGCGACAAAUAUCUGACCUAACGGACAGAAACUUCAUAUAAGGCAUUUGACCAUGGAUAAGAUUGCAUCACAAAUCAAAGUCCUAUUGCUAUUCGGAAUGGUUGGUGUAAAUGAAGUAGGUAUAAGAUGGAAAGACA